This 447-nucleotide long non-coding RNA is filed under the name Mytilus galloprovincialis (Mediterranean mussel). The record is from RNAcentral. Lineage: Eukaryota; Metazoa; Mollusca; Bivalvia; Mytilida; Mytilidae.
CCGAGGUCCGCGACCUUCCACUUUUGCAAGCGGAAUUUUGACUAGGAUAGUUGGUUUCUAGCUACGCCCGACGUAGUCACCUUCCACUUGAAAGAAAAUAAGAAAUUACUUUGCAAACCUUCCAUGCAAGUCACCAAAGUCUCCAAUUAAACGAGCUAAAAACUUAUUUUUAUCAUUAUUAUUCAUGACAGCGAUGUUCAUUUUGUUCAACCGCUAGCUUUAUACAGAAAAUCACCGACAAAUAUUGUAUAAAUUCGAGUAAAAUCGUAUCUGAUUGACAAAAACAACAUUGUAAACACAUAACAAUGGCGGCCGUGAAGACAAAAUUUUACAAUAUCGGAUCCAAUUCCGGAAGCGGAUAAGGAUAAUUCCGGGUUUGGCGACCAAUUACAAAAUAAAUCAAAGCAGAUGAAAAAAUAAAUCUAUGCAUGGUAAAUGAAUAUAAAC